This 2125-nucleotide ribosomal RNA is filed under the name Eurycope producta complex sp. 4 AD-2018. RNAcentral's name for it is "SSU rRNA". It matches the Rfam family "Eukaryotic small subunit ribosomal RNA". Lineage: Eukaryota; Metazoa; Arthropoda; Malacostraca; Isopoda; Munnopsidae. The record is from RNAcentral.
AGUCAUAUGCUUGUCUCAAAGAUUAAGCCAUGCAUGUCUGAGUACAGACCGAUCUAAGGUGAAACCGCGAAUGGCUCAUUAAAUCAGUCAUAAUUCCUUGGAUAGUGAUAAAACUUCCUCGGAUAACUGUGGAAAAUCCAGAGCUAAUACGUGCAACUGAGUUCCGACCUUGGCGCGAGCCUCGGGAAGAACGCAUUUAUUAGAUUCAAAACUGACCGACGUACUCCUGCGGGAUGCGUCGAUCGUCAAAUGUUUGAUGACUCCGGAUAACUUAGCCGAGCGCUACGGUCUUUAGUACCGGCGCCGUAUCUUUCAAGUGUCUGCCUUAUCAGCUUUCGAUUGUAGGUUAAACGCCUACAAUGGCUGUAACGGGUAACGGGGAAUCAGGGUUCGAUUCCGGAGAGGGAGCCUGAGAAACGGCUACCACAUCUAAGGAAGGCAGCAGGCACGCAAAUUACCCACUCCCAGCCCGGGGAGGUAGUGACGAAAAAUAACGAUGCGAGACUCUUCCGAGGCCUCGCAAUCGGAAUGAGUUCAUUUUAAAACUUUGGACGAGGAUCCAUUGGAGGGCAAGUCUGGUGCCAGCAGCCGCGGUAAUUCCAGCUCCAAUAGCGUAUAUUAAAGUUGCUGCGGUUAAAAAGCUCGUAGUUGGAUCUCCUAGAUCCAUUUAGUGAUCGAGUCGCUCGUAGAAUUAACGUCCUUCGUCUGGUCGCCGGAACUAUGGUGUCGGGAUUCCCCGUUUCGUUGUCGAACUCUCGUUUCUCCGCUUCGCGGUGGAUGGAACGGUGUGUAAGGCGCGUUUCGGUGGGCCUCUCCUAUUUCGGAGGACGGUCGGUCGUUGUCUUCGAGUAUCGCUCUUUCGCUUGUGGUACAAUUAAAAAUUUGUCGGCUCGCUCGGAGUGCUCUUUACCGAGUGUUCCAGGGUGGCCGACACGUUCACUUUGAAAAAAUUAGAGUGCUUAAAGCGGGCGCAUACGCUGCCUGAAUGUCUGUGCAUGGAAUGAAGUAACAGGACCUCGAUUCUGUUGUUUUUGUCGGUUUUAUUGAACCGAGGUAAUGAUUAAAAGGGACAGACGGUGGCAUUAGUAUUGCGGCGCUAGAGGUGAAAUUCUUGGACCGCUGCAAGACUAACUACUGCGAAAGCAUUUGCCGAGAAUGUUUUCAUUAAUCAAGAACGAAAGUUAGAGGAUCGAAGGCGAUCAGAUACCGCCCUAGUUCUAACCCUAAACUAUGCUAACUAGCGAUCCGCCGGAGUCAUUCCCACGACCCGGCGGGAAGCCCCAGGGAAACCAAAGUUUUUGAGUUCCGGGGGAAGUAUGGUUGCAAAGCUGAAACUUAAAGGAAUUGACGGAAGGGCACCACCAGGAGUGGAGCCUGCGGCUUAAUUUGACUCAACACGGGAAACCUCACCAGGCCCGGACAUCAUAAGGAUUGACAGGUUGAGAGCUCUUUCUCGAUUUGAUGGGUGGUGGUGCAUGGCCGUUCUUAGUUGGUGGAGUGAUCUGUCUGGUUGAUUCCGAUAACGAACGAGACUCUACCCUACUAACUAGUCGGCGGAUCGUAACCCUGAGAUUGUUAGUUUGUAUAGGUCGGUAUGUCCGAGUCGUGAGCGCUAUUAGCUUUUGUUGCGUUAGUGUUAAGAGUACUUCAGACGUCUCCUUCGCGGGGGGCGCCUGGCCUUUUUCUCUAUCGUGUCGGGCUAUUGUUGCGAGCGGCGAAGCUUCCGUCUGAUUACUGCUACUGCUGGGGGCGUCCGUCGCAAUGUAUCUUCUUAGAGGGAUCAGCGGCGUUUAGCCGCACGAGAAAGAGCAAUAACAGGUCUGUGAUGCCCUUAGAUGUUCUGGGCCGCACGCGCGCUACAAUGUAGAGAUCAGCGUGCUUUCCCCUUCCGAAAGGAACGGGUAACCCGUUGAAACCCCUACCCGAUUGGGAUUGGGGAUUGCAAAUAUUUCCCAUAAACGAGGAAUUCCCAGUAAGCGCGAGUCAUUAACUCGCGCUGAUUACGUCCCUGCCCUUUGUACACACCGCCCGUCGCUACUACCGAUUGAAUGAUUCAGUGAGGGCAUCGGACUGGCGCCUUCGGUUUAGUAACAUAGACCUUAGGCUGACGGAAAGAUGUCCGAAC